GCCCGCUUGGCUUCUGAGAGGAGCACCUGGCGUCGGAGCGUGGCCGCAGCCUUUGGCCUCAGCUUUCUUUGUUGUCCGAGGCUCUGAGAAGUACCCAGGACAGUCUCCUGGAAGCAGGAGCUGGAGGGACUCCGAGGUUUUGUAGCUACAGAGAUUUGGGGGUUGCCAAUCAAAUUCUUCGCACUCCGCCAUGUCCGCCGCAGCCAUCUUCUUCAGGAGAGCGGACCAGGGACUAUGGAUCUCACUAAGUCGCCCAGACCGGCUUCGAGCUUGUGCGCCUACUGCCUCAGCCUCUCCAGUAGGGUGUACCCCAUCACAUCCGCCUCAGGACUGCAGAAUUUUGGCACUGUGACUCCUUCUCUUUCAUGAACCGUCUUUUCUCCUUCACCAUCCAGUGUUAUGAUAAAGUCACAAGGAAUGAAAGAAAAAGGAUGAAUAAAACUUCAUCAAAGUAAAAAACUCCUGUGCUUCAGAAGACACCAAGAAGACGAAAGAUAAUCUAGAAAAUGGAGAAAAUAUUUACAAACCACUAUCAACAACUCUGCUGUAGAAGACAGUUACACAUAUUUAUUUUUCUGGCUAUAAAAGGUAUAUGAAUACA
Long non-coding RNA from Fukomys damarensis (Damara mole-rat), 601 nucleotides. RefSeq lists it as uncharacterized. Lineage: Eukaryota; Metazoa; Chordata; Mammalia; Rodentia; Bathyergidae. The record is from RefSeq and is a predicted model, not a curated record. The transcript is spliced from 3 exons.